ACAGGAACCCCUGUAUGAGAGAACAGGAACCCCUGUCUGAGAAAAGUGGCGUACCACGCAUAGUGACAGCAGAUCGGUGUGAAUGCGUCCGCAGUAACAGCAUGUGGGAGGGAGAUGUGCAGCAACCACUUACCCAGCCAGGUCAUUAGGGAAUACAGAGACCGGCUCAGUAUCCUGCUCCUAUUACACACAGCUGCAGUCCAUACAACUUGUGGCCUACGCUGAGAUUUCCCAUCCCCUCCUAUCGGCCAGCGUCUCAGCAGUCACCAUACCCAGAGACUAGAUAUACACCUUCCAAGCAAAAUGCAAGGUUCUCCGAGGCUAAGUUACUGCACUGCAACAUCAAGCUCCGCUCAUAGCCAGAGAAUAAAGGGGAACAGUUGCAUCACCAGAGUCUGCAUUACCGUCAUGAACAGAAAUGCACCAUAUGUAACAGCCAUAGGUGUAAUCAUUUACAUUCCUGCCCCACUACCCAGAAUCCCACGGUGGAACCAAACCCAGUAUAUGACCAGAGGAAAAAGAAAAGUCACAAUGAAACAGCUCUUUGUCUGCAUUUGAAAACUUUGCAACACUAGCAAUGAUGGAUGGAAGUUUUGACGGUGCUCAUGCUAUCGGGAUACUGGCAUCGAUACUGACCCGGCGGCAUUCCGUACGCCGGCAAAUCACACUGAAUCCUUCUUAAACAUGUCAGUACUUUCACUUAUCGCCUCCUCAAUAAUAGAAAAUAUUUACUAUAUUGAUGGGUAUUAACUCCGACAAAAUGGCCACGUUUCUGGAAAGUAUAUGUUGUUCAGGUCGCUGUAAUGAGUGUUGAGAUCCUGAUAAUGUUCCGAGAAUCUUUUGUUUUGCAGUUAAUAGUGAUACGGAAAUAACGUGUUCGCUGUUUCCUCACAAUCUGCCAUUGGCGGCCUCCAGCCACGGCGAGGAAAGGUCAGAGUAAAGUGCCGGAGCAGGUAGAAUAAAUGGAGCGUAAAC
Long non-coding RNA from Pseudophryne corroboree (corroboree frog), 975 nucleotides. RefSeq lists it as uncharacterized. The transcript is spliced from 5 exons. The record is from RefSeq and is a predicted model, not a curated record. NCBI's taxonomy places the organism in Eukaryota, Metazoa, Chordata, Amphibia, Anura, Myobatrachidae.